GAAACACUGAUUGAUAAAGAGUUGAGGAUCCCGUGGAUGCAUCAACAAUUGACCAAAGUUACAACUGAAUAGGGCAAAGCAAACGAGGGACAGGCAGCGCAUCCGCUAAAGAAACUACUUGUCGUACGAUAAGGAGAAAAAAAAAAAAGAUCCCCUGUCCAGCUUUGAAGCGGCACGUCGUUACAAGGCAAAAUGACAUUUUUAUCCAAUAAUAUUCUUGCAUAAGUGAGAUUUGCAUAUUUUAUUCUCUGCGACUAAACCAACAAACCUUCCAAAAAUAACAAUCAGUACAAAUCCUCAGGCCUUCUCAGCUUCUCAUAUGAUUUUCUUGAAACCUGCCAAAAACUUGAAUUUAGUUUAGUGGAGAUUAAAAACAUACUAUUAUCGUAAAAUUUAUGUUAGUGCAUACCCGGUGAGAGGAUGGUGAGUAAUGCGCAGCUGGAGAAUUGGGAACAGAUUUUCCAGGGGAAGCUGAUAGAGUUGGUCUAGCCAAUGGAGAACAAACAUAUGGUGGAAUUGGAGAGUGCAGUAUGGGAGUAUGAUUGCAGGAGGGUAGUGGACUUUGAUGAUACGAAGAAACUGGGGAAGCCACAGGAGUCCUCCAUUGAAUAUGGGAAGCUGAUGCUGCUAUGGGAGACCUCUUUAAGGGAGAUCUUCGCCAAUCUAGCAUAUUAAUUUUUAUCUUGUUGUGAACAUCAACAUACUCAUCAGUCUCAUCCAGAAUUUCUUCCUGCAGCAGUUCCUCCAUAACGUCUUCCAGUGUUAUGAUGCCAAUGACUUCUUCAUCUAAAGCUGAAAGGGAUUCCAAAUCUUCAUUUGGAAGAUUUUGAUUUUGGCAUUCAUUUUUCUUUAAUUUUGGGUGCAAAAGAUCUGUUAGAUCUCUCGCAUUAUCCGGCAUUGGACUUUCAAUUUCUGUGUCACUGGAGUACACAGAUGGUGAAUGUAUACAGAUAUUCAAUUGUUCAUUCUGACCAGGCUGAUGAAUCAUCCCUGAACAUACUUUCAUAUCUGCUUUUCUUUGUUUUGAAUUUGGAUUAUUGUUCGUCUUGAAGAUGCUACCAUUGGUUUUUGUUUCUUCUGCAAUUUCCUUAACAUCGUCCUUACCCUUGACAACAA
This 1116-nucleotide unclassified non-coding RNA is filed under the name Hevea brasiliensis (rubber tree). The record is from RNAcentral. Lineage: Eukaryota; Viridiplantae; Streptophyta; Magnoliopsida; Malpighiales; Euphorbiaceae.